AUGCAUGUCUAAGUUCACACCCUUGUACGGUGAAACCGCGAAUGGCUCAUUAAAUCAGUCGAGGUUCCUUAGAUGAUCCAAAUUUACUUGGAUAACUGUGGUAAUUCUAGAGCUAAUACAUGCCCACCAGCUCCGACCCUCUCGGGGGAAAGAGCGCUUUUAUUAGUUCAAAACCAGUCGGGUUUCGGCCCGUCCUUUGGUGACUCUGGAUAACUUUGUGCCGAUCGCAUGGCCUCGAGCCGGCGACGCAUCUUUCAAAUGUCUGCCCUAUCAAAUGACGAUGGUACGUGAUCUGCCUACCAUGUUUUCUACGGGUAGCGGGGAAUCAGGGUUCGAUUCCGGAGAGGGAGCAUGAGAAACGGCUACCACA
This 370-nucleotide ribosomal RNA is filed under the name Littorinimorpha sp. USNM IZ 1448053. RNAcentral describes it as "SSU rRNA". It matches the Rfam family "Eukaryotic small subunit ribosomal RNA", at positions 51 to 414 of the family's 1831-position model. Lineage: Eukaryota; Metazoa; Mollusca; Gastropoda; Littorinimorpha. The record is from RNAcentral.